UACAUUUCUCUUAAUCAGAUAACAACUCUGUCUUAAACUAACUAUCGUGCGCGCAAGACGCUGUGUGAUUAUUUGAUUUUCUUCAUCAUCUUUAGCACACACAGCGAACUUCUUACGACUUUAAAAUCAUGUUUAUCCGAUUUAUUAUUUUCUACUCUAUUUUAUUCGUCGAUUUGAGAGACGCUAGACCAGCGCCGAUCAAGGUACGCGUAAAAAGUGGUUGGCUAAAGUCGUUCGUAAAACAGUCAUUACCGAAUGUAAUAUUAGGAACACACAAGCUCACCAUUCCGAAAGGUUUGUCAACAAAAGUAUUCCGAGAGCCCACUUUGCCAUAUAUUUGUCGCGAGUUCCCACCAGGAACGGGAACAAUACCGAAAUCAAUGGCGGGCCGCGUACCACAUAUCCGCGAAGAAUAUAUACCAAGUGCACCAGCAAAACGCGCACCCAGAGGCAAGCUCAGCACUUUGGGAGCCCCGGACCAAGACCCAGACCCAGACAUAUUAACAGACUCUGCCAAGCUUUAAGAGGCUCACUAUAGGGUGAAUGGAAAAUUUUUUUCUCGCCAUAUUGUGCGGUCUUUUUGAAGGCUCGAGAAAAUGAAAAAUUCAUUUAAAAUACAGCGAGCUAAAUCGCAUCAAAAGAGAGGGGGCUUUCUCGCGACACAAUCAAUAUUUAUGAUGGACACGUGCUUUAUAACGUGAUGUUUAUUUAGCCUUUUGGCUUUUAAAAAUCAAAUUCAAAAAGAGUACAGAUAAUUUCGAUUUUGGCCAAGCAAAACGAAGGCGAACGCUUCAGAAAAUUCACAAUUUGUGAGGUACAAAAAAAUAAUUUUCAAUAUAAGAAGUUUCAACGCCCAAAUUUUUUACUUUUUUCGUUAUUUUGAACUUUUUCGAACCGGUACCAACCUUGCAGGUAUUUCUUUGGUUAUGUUUCUUAAAUAUUUUUGAACAUGGUAUCUGAAGGAUUUUUUUUUUUAAAUCACUACUUUUUCAAUCAAAUUUUCGGAAAGCUCUCCACUCAACCUCCUCCCUCCUCACACACACACAAAAAUAAACAGGAUGUCCAUUAUUUUUGGCAAGUAAUUUUCCUUGACAUUUCCAGGUUUCCUAAAUCAUUUUUUCCAAUUUUCUAUACGUACCUACUUACCCCAUACUUCAAUUUAAAGAAUGAGUUUUGGGAGGAGGGGAGGUGGGAUAAUUUUUUUUCAUAAGUUUCUCUUCAAAUUGAUUCGAGAGUAAUAAUCUUGUAAUUAUAAACACCCCCUCCCCCCAAAAAAAAUUGAUUCGAGAGCUUUUGAAAAUAUUUAUUUCGAGAUGCAUAAAAACGAGCUUACUUUUAGUUUUUAAAAUUUUAGAAUUUGAAUAAUGUUUUUUUGAAAGAAGUUGAUUUUGAAAAAGAAAACAGAACAUGCCCAAGCGAGGGCAAAAGUCUUCGAAAAUUUGUGUAUCGAGAAGUAAAAAAUUAUUGUUUUUCUUUCAUUACAGGCCCAUAUCCGAAAUUUGCAAUUGAUCGUUUUUUCAAAAUUCCAGAGAUUUUUCGUAAAAAUUACAAAAUCCACUGACUUUUUCAGACCGACCAAAUUCCCUGACUUUUCCAGGCUUUUCGGAAGAAUGGUCAGUUGGUCACUCCUGAUUAAUAAAGCCUUAAUUUUUCACAAGAAAAUUUUCAAAAAAAUUGAAACUGGAAGGAAAAUUGCAUACAAAGUAUUUUUCAUUAUCAAUCAAAAUUAUAACGAAAAAACGAUAAAAAAUAUGAACCCAUUAAUGAAUUUUUUCAUUUUUUCACUACCUCUUUGACUAAAUUCACUAUACUUUCACUACUCAUUUUUAAAAUCACUACUUUUUCACUACGUUCACUCCUUUCUUUACCUGUUAGAUAUACCAUGCUGAAGAACCGUUUUGAGCAGUUCUGGAGCCUCCAGCAGAUUUUUGAAACUCGAAAUUCCCACAAAAUUCCAUUAAACGGAGAUGGAAAGCCGAAAUUUACUCUGCGAACUAAUUUCAAUACCCUACGAAGUCAACUGCAGGUAGACUUCAAGUCGUUUUGGAGCCUCCAGUAGAUUUUUGAAACUUUACUUCGCAAACUUAUUUUAAUACCACAUGAAGUCGACUACCUGAUGGUUUCAAAUAGUUUUGAAGCUUCUAGCUACUUUUUAAAUUUCAAUUUUCCAAAAAACGCAAUACAACGUUUCAAAAAGUCGCUGGAGGCUCCAAAACGACUUGAAAUCUACCAGCAGUCGACUUCGUAGAGUAUUGAAAUUAGUUUGCAGAAUGAAUGAUUUCGUCUCUCCAUCUUCAUUUGAUGAAAUUUUGGGAGGUUUUUCAGUUUCAAAAAUCUACUGGACCUGCUCCAGUAAUUUUCAAAAAGUCGCUAGAGGCUCCAAAAUUACUUAAACCCACCUGAAGUCGUCUUCAGAGGGUGUCAAACUUGGAGUGCGGAGUAAAUUUCGGCUCUCCCAUCUCCGUUUGAUGAAGUUUUGGAGUAAUUUCAAGUUUCAAAAAUCUACUGGAGGCUCCAAAACACUUAAAAUCUACCUACAGUUGACUUCGUAGCGUAUUGAAAUUGGUUUGCAGAGUGAAUUUCGGCUUUCCAUCUCCGUUUGAUGAAAUGUUGUGGGAAUUUCCAGUCUCAAAAAUCUGCUGGAGGCUCCAGAACUGCUCAAAACGGGUUGAAACCGUUUCCAAUCGAUUUGGCUUGCCGAAAAUAGGGUAUAUUCCAAAUUUCAGCUUUCUCGAUCAAUUUGGUAAGAUUUUGAUUUUUUCCCUCAUUUUUGGCCUAAAUUUGAUUUUCAAAAAUUCACCAAAAAUCGAAAAACGCACUUUGGCACUUGAAAUUUUGACAGGUGAUGAAUUUUUGCCUGAUCUUUCGAUCUACGUUUGUACGGUUUGAAAAAUUUCGUGCAAGUCCUAUGUUGAAACGCAAAAUCUGCGAUUUCGGCUGACCUGGCUAUCAAAAUGACCACCAUUUUGUAAGUAGGGCCACUUUUUUUGAGGACAAGGGCUAAAAAUGUUUCUUAGGACUCCCCCUUUAAGAAAAAAGUUGCCCCAGGUGAUCCUUAUUCGAGCCCCCUGACCAUCUAGAAUUUUGGAUGAUGCAAAACAUUGGUUUUCAUGGCUUUAGCAUUUUCAGUUUUCAAGAAAUUAUAAAUGUUAUACAUACUAUUUUUAAAAAUACGAAUGGGGCUCGAGCGGGGCGAGGGCAAAAGCUCCCAAAAAUUCAAAAUUCUUUAUUUUUUUCAAGACAUAAUUUCUCUUGUAACUAUGUACUCGUAUUUUCAAAAACGACAAAUUUGUGGUAGAAAAUGUUUCCGCAUUUUUGUUGAAAAAUAUAUAAUUAUAUAUUUUUUUUUGAUAUUUCAAGUUGAGAUUUUCUGGCAAUUUUGACUGGAAUGCAUUGGAGAGAUUUUUUCUUUUAUAAUUUGGAAAAUUUCAAGUAAAAACAACAUUAUUUUUGAUAUGAGAAGUUGAAUUUUAUAUUCUCCAGCUUCAAUUGGAGAAACGAAAACUUUUGAUUUAUAAACCACGUUUUUUCUGAUAAUUCUUUGAUUUUCCCUGCUCACACAAUUUAUUUCCAAAUUUCCCAAAUAUUUUCAACCAAAUUCUCAGCUUUUCACCUAAAGUUUUCUGUCUGACGGUGUUGCCAAGUUUCUAUUUCAUGGCUUUCAACGUCUAUAGAAGCUUGGCAACUACACUUCAUACUUUCAAUUGAUAUUUGUUAGCCAACUACGUAUUUGUCAUUUUUCUCUUAAUAAAGAUUAAAGCGUUU
This is a long non-coding RNA of Planococcus citri (citrus mealybug), 3765 nucleotides long. RefSeq lists it as uncharacterized. The transcript is spliced from 2 exons. The record is from RefSeq and is a predicted model, not a curated record. Lineage: Eukaryota; Metazoa; Arthropoda; Insecta; Hemiptera; Pseudococcidae.